Molecule: transfer RNA, 75 nt
Filed under: Streptomyces sp. CCM_MD2014
Lineage: Bacteria; Bacillati; Actinomycetota; Actinomycetes; Kitasatosporales; Streptomycetaceae
Description: tRNA-Arg
Rfam family: tRNA
About the family: Transfer RNA (tRNA) molecules are approximately 80 nucleotides in length. Their secondary structure includes four short double-helical elements and three loops (D, anti-codon, and T loops).
Source: RNAcentral
GCCCCCGUAGCUCAGGGGAUAGAGCAACGGCCUCCGGAGCCGUGUGCGCAGGUUCGAAUCCUGCCGGGGGCACUA